Molecule: ribosomal RNA, 468 nt
Filed under: uncultured bacterium
Lineage: Bacteria
Description: partial 16S ribosomal RNA
Rfam family: Bacterial small subunit ribosomal RNA
Source: RNAcentral
GAUGAACGCUGGCGGCGUGCUUAACACAUGCAAGUCGAACGGAAAGGCCCAAGCUUGCUUGGGUACUCGAGUGGCGAACGGGUGAGUAACACGUGGGUGAUCUGCCCUGCACUUCGGGAUAAGCCUGGGAAACUGGGUCUAAUACCGGAUAGGACGAUGGUUUGGAUGCCAUUGUGGAAAGUUUUUUCGGUGUGGGAUGAGCUCGCGGCCUAUCAGCUUGUUGGUGGGGUAAUGGCCUACCAAGGCGUCGACGGGUAGCCGGCCUGAGAGGGUGUACGGCGACAUUGCGACUGAGAUACGGCCCAGACUCCUACGGGAGGCAGCAGUGGGGAAUAUUGCACAAUGGGCGCAAGCCUGAUGCAGCGACGCCGCGUGGGGGAUGACGGCCUUCGGGUUGUAAACUCCUUUCGCUAGGGACGAAGCGUUUUUGUGACGGUACCUGGAGAAGAAGCACCGGCUAACUACGUG